UUUUGCCCCAUUAAAGUUAGACAAACAUCUAACAUCCUCUGACCAAGAAAAUGAGAGAAAAGUAAGUGGUGUCACCUGUGACCUAAAGCAUAGAAGAAAGGGCCUGAGCACCAUUCUUUCUUCUCUUCUUUGCCCUGCUAAAGCUGGAAGGCUCUUUUGCAAGAGCAGCAGGGGCUUGUGGUCUCCCUCCUCUACUGUUGGACUAAAACGCACCUCGUUCACCGUCUUCUCGCAAAGAAACCGUGAUUGGUCUUCUAGAGGUGAUCAUGGCUAACACUUGGUUGUGCUCUGGUAGAAUACAACCAUUCUCCCCGAUCUGUCCAGUUUCUGCAGAGGCCAGACUGCCAAUCAAGUCUUUGACAGCAGCUGGAUGUCCUACAAUUCAACUCAAUUCUGAUACAGUCUACCUGAGGGCAGCUUCAGAUUCUGAGGUUAUGGACUCAAUCCCAUAAGACUGCCUCCCCUGCUAACUCCUAGCAAGCCCAGGCCAUCCUGUUCUUUGACCAACCAGAUAGAGAUUGGAGGUUCUAACCCCUUCAACUUUGAGUUUGGUUAAUUUGCUAACGUGGCUCACAGAACUUAGAAAAACACUUUGUUUACUGGAUCAACCACUGGUUAACUGUAAAAGGGUAUAACUCAAGAACAGCCAGUUAAAAGAGACACAUAGGGCAAAGCAUGGGGAAAGGUCUUGGAGUUUUCAUACUCUCUUCAUGUGUCCCAUUCUCCCCAAUCCUGAAGUGUUAACACCUAAAAACUCUUUGAACUCUGUUCUUUAGGGUUUUUAUGGUGCUUUCAUUACAAAGGGCUGUGUGUGUAUGUGCACACGCACACGCUCAGUUGCUCAAUUGUGUCCCCUAGGUAUGAUUGAUUAACUCACUGACUAUUCAUGAUUGAACUCAAUCUCCAAGGCCUCUCCUUUCCCCAGAGGCUAGGGGGUGGGACGGAAAAUUCCAAUCCUCUAAUCACACAGUUGGAUCAUCCAAAAAGCAAGA
This is a long non-coding RNA of Cervus elaphus (red deer), 992 nucleotides long. RefSeq lists it as uncharacterized. Lineage: Eukaryota; Metazoa; Chordata; Mammalia; Artiodactyla; Cervidae. The transcript is spliced from 4 exons. The record is from RefSeq and is a predicted model, not a curated record.